RNAcentral lists this ribosomal RNA (307 nucleotides) under Brevibacillus sp. R124. Its description in RNAcentral is "bacterial SSU rRNA". It matches the Rfam family "Bacterial small subunit ribosomal RNA", at positions 91 to 390 of the family's 1533-position model. The record is from RNAcentral. Lineage: Bacteria; Bacillati; Bacillota; Bacilli; Caryophanales; Paenibacillaceae.
CCUAGCGGCGGACGGGUGAGUAACACGUAGGCAACCUGCCUCUCAGACCGGGAUAACAUAGGGAAACUUAUGCUAAUACCGGAUAGGUUUUUGGAUUGCAUGAUCCGAAAAGAAAAGAUGGCUUUUGGCUAUCACUGGGAGAUGGGCCUGCGGCGCAUUAGCUAGUUGGUGGGGUAACGGCCUACCAGGGCGACGAUGCGUAGCCGACCUGAGAGGGUGACCGGCCACACUGGGACUGAAACACGGCCCAGACUCCUACGGGAGGCAGCAGUAGGGAAUUUUCCACAAUGGACGAAAGUCUGAUGGA